UGCGGACUCCUAAAAACCAGAGCCGUUUUUAACUCAAAGCUCCCUUUUCUCUUCAUCCCGAGGCUGUUUGCAGCCAGUCCCAGUCUCACAUGCCGAAAACGCUCCCGUCUGACAUCUCCAAGAGUCCGAUCCCAGGGAUGAGAACAGGCAACACGAACUAUAUAGAAACCUCAGGUGUCAUAACCUCCAAACCCUCCCCAAGUCUGCCAGCAAGUCUUUGCAGGAUUUACCAGCAGUGCAUAUGGCGAUGAGACAUGUCUUCAAAGCCACCGUAGAUGGCACAGUCUCUGAAUCCAGUCCCCACUUGGUGGAAAAGCUCUAUUAAUAUCAAUGGGACACGAUCAGAUGUGAAAAGUCACAGCCUCGAUAAACUAUAAUGAUCGAUAUUCACUGAGGAGCUGAUCCUCCUUCUCGCUGCUCCUUUUAUCCCUCCCACGGCUGUGAUAACAGUAAGACUUCAUGCUACGUGAAUAACCCAGAACUUGCUAUUUCCACGUGAAAACACAACAGUUUCAAUUACUGACUCAUCCUAAUACUCUGUGGGACAACUCCUAUAUUUUUCCACUUUUUUAACAUUUUGUGCUGCCCCUUUCUUCUCGUUCUCCACAGCACAAAAAGAACAUGCAACUGUUGUUCGGUUGUUGGGGUAUUGUUUUGUUUUCUUGCUUUUGUGAUGGUUUGGGAGUAUUUUUUUGAACUGGAAAUAUAGGGGCAAGAGGAAGAAGCAUACCAGAAUGCAUUCAUGCAGACACUGGAAUGGCAAGCCAGCAGUUAUCCAAGUACAUGUAGCAGAAAGCAUCUCUGAAUAAACAAUAAUAAUAAAAUAAUAAUAAUAAUAAAAGCAGCAGAAAGCUCUCUCCCAUCCAACCAGGCCAAAAAAAUAAGGGUUUGGCAAGGAAUAAUCUGAGAAAGUGUCUGAAGAGCUGGAAGUAGGUUCUGUAUCAUGCAGAAGAGCCAAAAAUGUGUUUGGCCACAAACAGCGCAUGAUGCAUUGCAAAACGUUUCACGAGGAGAUAUUUAGAGGGUGGGAUGGUUGGCAUGGAGAGGAAAAGAGGGGGAGGCAUCGCUGCAGAGGAAUAUCUUUAGCCUUCAAACAACAGCCACUAAAAUAUCCCGAAUGCUCUGCCUCCCCAGAGGUGCCAAGGGUUGAAAGUUUUGUGCAGAAUGGCUUUUGCGGGAUAAUGUAAUCUCAUUUAAAAUUAGUUUUUAGCUGCCCCUUUCUUAGUGAGAAGGAAAAGCCCAAAGAUAGGGCCUGAUGCAGGGAUGUCAGUAGGCUUGGGAUUAAUGGGUUUUGGAUUGGACUCACGGUAUAAGAGACAGUGCUCCAAUCUAGCCAUAAAUAAAGUGGCUUCCAUUAACGUUUAUAUUUGCUUUAAUUUAUUUAACCAAGAAAGUCAGCAGAGGCCCAUAGGUCUCGGUAUUAAGAAUGAGCUGGCCAAGACAGCAGCAGAUAAAGCUUGCACCAGCGUAAAUCAAAGCUUCCAUAAGUCAUACUCAAGAAACCAUGGGUGAGUAAGGCAAUAAAAUGUGACCAUUGUUUCUUUACUGUAUCAUUCUCAGCUUUCACUUUCUGCCGGAGCCAAACAUCAUUUCUGCUCCAUCUUUUUAAGAGGUUGGAGAGCAUGGACCAAACCCGUUGCAAACCCGGGAUCCAGAGCAGGAGUUCAGAAGCUGGGAUUUGCAAACAGCUCACAAAUGCUUUGCCUCCCCUAAUGGCCAGAUAAUAAUAAAGAUGAGAUCCAGAAGCUUUAUUUUUUUUUCCUACUUAAAUGUUGGAAAAGGCUGCACCUCCACCU
Molecule: long non-coding RNA, 1796 nt
Organism: Grus americana (Whooping crane)
Lineage: Eukaryota; Metazoa; Chordata; Aves; Gruiformes; Gruidae
Exons: 3
Source: RefSeq, a predicted model, not a curated record